UAUAAUAAUGUACCAGUAAACGACACUGAAUUUUUUCUUUAAAAGAAAUAUACUGACAUCCCAAUCUAUUCUUCCUUGCCAAUUAUGUCAACCCAACGUUUGCCCUUAAGCUCGGCAAGAAUCUCUUGCUUAAUCUUGUGAGCAAUUACAGGACCAUCAUAUCCCAAAGCAGUAUAAACUUGAACCAUAGUUGCACCAGCACGAGCAUACUCAAUAGCAUCUUUGCCAGAAGAAAUACCACCACAGCCGAUGAUGGGAAUAUCGGAAGAAAGAUGCUUACGAAGUGUGCGAAGAGUAUUUAAUGCGAUAGGUUUGAGAGGAGGUCCAGAAAGACCACCCGUCUCUUCAACAUGGCUAGUUGAUUUGAGGGUCUUAGGGCGUUGAACGGUAGUAUUACCAACGAUCACACCGUCAAUCUUGCACUUUUUGAGGACAUCGGCAAUGUCCGUGAGUUCUUCUUCGUUCAAAUCAGGUGCAAUUUUUACAAGUACGGGAGGAUGAGGAGAGUUCAAUUUAUUGCGCUCACUGACAACAGCAGUCAAUAAAGUUGAGAGGGCAGAUUUCUUUUGUAGGUUACGAAGACCAGGGGUAUUAGGAGAGGAAACGUUAAUGACAAGAAUGUCAGCGAAGUUACCAAAGGUACGAACACCUUCAACAUAAUCCUCAAUCUCGUUACCGUUCUUAUUCUUGCCUAAAUUGAUACCAAGGAACUUGUUAGGAAUUAAACUACGAGGUACGCCAAGGACAGCGGGAUCAGUGCAAGAAGCGGGAUUUGCAUCAAACUGUUUUAAUAGUUGAGGAGAUGUCUUAGCAAUGUAUUUGCGAACGCGCUUUUGAAUCUUAGCAAGGAUGGCAUCAUGGCCGAUAGAAUUAAAACCGUAACGAUUGAUUACAGACAAAUCAGGCUUAAGGCGGAAAUAGCGUGGUUUAGGAUUACCAGGUUGAGGUUUAGGUGUGACCGAGCCAAUUUCAAGAUAGGAAAACCCGAAGUUCAACAAACCUGAGAUAGCAUCGGCUUGUUUAUCGAAACCAGCAGCUAGACCAAUGGGAUUGCAAAAUUUCUUACCCCAAACUUCAACGGCAAGAGAUGGAUCAUCAGCUACACGAUCCUUCGGUGUUAUACCCCAAGAGGCAGCGAGAAUGGCGACACGAUGAGAAAACUCAGGAGUGGUGAAAGCAUGAAAGAGAGGCAUUUCAAUGCGGCCAUGGAUAAAACUACGAACAUCGGACAUGUCGUAAAUGGCAACGCCGGCAGUAAAACUACCAAUAACACUCAAAAGCUUCCAAUGACGGAGAAAGAAAUUGCCAUUUGAAGAGCCAGAGCUGGUAGAUUGAAAACGUACAGAGGAGCGCUUUAAACCCUGAGCGACACCGCGAAACAAAGAUCGUUGAUACAUUUUAGUAUUUUUAAUAGAAUUCGGCUUAAAU
This is a non-coding RNA of Schizosaccharomyces pombe (fission yeast), 1428 nucleotides long. Lineage: Eukaryota; Fungi; Ascomycota; Schizosaccharomycetes; Schizosaccharomycetales; Schizosaccharomycetaceae. The record is from the annotation of a GenBank genome assembly.